CAAAAUUACGGGGAUGACUUGUGGCUAGGGGUGAAAGGCUAAUCAAACUCGGAAAUAGCUGGUUCUCCGCGAAAGAUAUUUAGGUAUCGCCUCGAGCGAAUACUGCAGGGGGUAGAGCACUGGAUGGGCUAGGGGGUCUCACCGACUUACCGAUCCUAACCAAACUCCGAAUACCUGCAAGUACUACUCGGGAGACAGACGGUGGGUGCUAACGUCCAUCGUCAAGAGGGAAACAACCCUGAUCUACAGCUAAGGUCCCCAAGUGAUAGUUAAGUGGGAAAGCAUGUGGGAAUGCUUAGACAACCAGGAGGUUGGCUUAGAAGCAGCCAUCCUUUAAAGAUAGCGUAACAGCUCACUGGUCAAGCGUUCCUGCGGCGAAGAUGUAACGGGUCUAAAACUAUCCACCGAAGCUUAGGGUUUGCACGCAAGUGCAAGCGGUAGCGGAGCGUUCCGUAAGCCAGUGAAGCGGUACCUGUGAGGGGCCGUGGAGGUAUCGGAAGUGCGAAUGAUGACAUGAGUAGCGAUAAAAAGUGUGAGAGACACUUUCGCCGAAAGUCCAAGGGUUCCUGCGCAAUGCUAAUCAGCGCAGGGUUAGCCGGCCCCUAAGUCGAGGCAGACAUGCGUAGACGAUGGGAACCACGUUAAUAUUCGUGGGCCUGGUGGUAGUGACGGAUCGCGCAAAGUUGUACGCCCUUAUUGGAUUGGGUGUGCAAUCCGCCGGUUCCAGGAAAUAGCUCCACCGCUAUAGACCGUACCCUAAACCGACACAGGUGGACUGGUAGAGCAUACCAAGGCGCUUGAGAGAACUAUGCUGAAGGAACUCGGCAAAUUGCAUGCGUAACUUCGGGAUAAGCAUGACCUCGGCGUGGGCAACCGCGCAGGGGUGACACAAAAGAGGGGGUAGCGACUGUUUAUUAAAAACACAGGGCUCUGCGAAGUUGCAAAACGACGUAUAGGGUCUGACGCCUGCCCGGUGCCGGAAGGUUAAAUGGAGGGGUGCAAGCUCUGAAAUGAAGCCCCGGUAAACGGCGGCCGUAAUAAUAACGGUCCUAAGGUAGUGAAAUUCCUUGUUGGGUAAGUUCCGACCUGCACGAAUGGCGUAACGACUUCCCCACUGUCUCCAGCAUAGACUCAGCGAAAUUGAAUUCCCCGUGAAGAUGCGGGGUACCUGCGGUCAGACGGAAAGACCCCAUGAACCUUUACUCUAGCUCUGCGCUGGCAUUCGUGUCGGCAUGUCC
RNAcentral lists this ribosomal RNA (1238 nucleotides) under metagenome. RNAcentral's name for it is "bacterial LSU rRNA". It matches the Rfam family "Bacterial large subunit ribosomal RNA", at positions 791 to 2139 of the family's 2925-position model. The record is from RNAcentral.